This 273-nucleotide ribosomal RNA is filed under the name uncultured soil bacterium. RNAcentral's name for it is "partial 16S ribosomal RNA". It matches the Rfam family "Bacterial small subunit ribosomal RNA", at positions 27 to 298 of the family's 1533-position model. The record is from RNAcentral.
GGAUUGAACGCUGGCGGCAGGCCUAACACAUGCAAGUCGAGCGGCAGCACGGGUACUUGUACCUGGUGGCGAGCGGCGGACGGGUGAGUAAUGCCUAGGAAUCUGCCUGGUAGUGGGGGAUAACGCUCGGAAACGGACGCUAAUACCGCAUACGUCCUGCGGGAGAAAGCAGGGGACCUUCGGGCCUUGCGCUAUCAGAUGAGCCUAGGACGGAUUAGCUAGUUGGUGAGGUAAUGGCUCACCAAGGCGACGAUCCCGUAAGCGUGGUCUGGA